Molecule: long non-coding RNA, 318 nt
Filed under: Durio zibethinus
Lineage: Eukaryota; Viridiplantae; Streptophyta; Magnoliopsida; Malvales; Malvaceae
Description: long non-coding RNA (DZIB_LNC002048)
Source: RNAcentral
UUUUAUUUAUUUUGAUUUUAAUUUUGGAGGGCUGAGAUUGAAGGCUGAAGAAUCCCAUUGGAAAUGGGAAUUCAAUCAGAAGAGUCCAGUGGGAUUCAAAGAUUGAAUUCCCGUCCAAUGAGGAAUUGGGAUUGAUCAGGAACUCCUGAUCAAUCCCUAUAAAAGGGACUCUGGAACAGAAUGCAAGGAACACAGAAAACAGUAAGCAAAGCUACUGAUUUGAGAGAAAAGGAGGCGUAUAGGAAGUUAGAAAAAGUUUAGGAGUGUUCUGGGAGUGAGAAAAAUUUUUUAGAAAUUUUUGGCGAAAAUUUUUUCUGG